GCCUUCGUGGUGUAGUGGUCAGCACGCUCGGCGCGUUAAGGAGACGGUCGUGGUUCGAAUUCCGACGAGGGCA
Molecule: transfer RNA, 73 nt
Filed under: Stegodyphus mimosarum
Lineage: Eukaryota; Metazoa; Arthropoda; Arachnida; Araneae; Eresidae
Rfam family: tRNA
About the family: Transfer RNA (tRNA) molecules are approximately 80 nucleotides in length.
Source: Rfam by way of RNAcentral